This 442-nucleotide ribosomal RNA is filed under the name uncultured bacterium. RNAcentral's name for it is "partial 16S ribosomal RNA". It matches the Rfam family "Bacterial small subunit ribosomal RNA", at positions 338 to 795 of the family's 1533-position model. The record is from RNAcentral.
CCUACGGGAGGCAGCAGUGGGGAAUAUUGGGCAAUGGGCGAAAGCCUGACCCAGCAACGCCGCGUGAAGGAAGAUGGCUUUCGGGUUGUAAACUUCUUUUGACAGGGAAGAGCAGAAGACGGUACCUGUCGAAUAAGCCUCGGCUAACUACGUGCCAGCAGCCGCGGUAAUACGUAGGUGGCAAGCGUGGUCCGGGUUUAGUGGGUGUAAAGGGCGUGUAGGCGGGCUGACAAGCCAGAUGUGAAAUCCGGGGGCUCAACCCCCGAACUGCCUUUGAAACUGGUGGUCUUGAGUAUCGGAGAGGCAGGCGGAAUUCCUAGUGUAGCGGUGAAAUGCGUAGAUAUUAGGAGGAACACCGAGGGCGAAGGCAGCCUGCUGGAGGGCAACUGACGGUGAGGCGCGAAGGCGUGGGGAGCGAACAGGAUUAGAUACCCGAGUAGUC